Molecule: ribosomal RNA, 243 nt
Filed under: uncultured bacterium
Lineage: Bacteria
Description: partial 16S ribosomal RNA
Rfam family: Bacterial small subunit ribosomal RNA
Source: RNAcentral
GAUCCUGGCUCAGGAUAAACGCUGGCGGCGCACAUAAGACAUGCAAGUCGAACGGAAGUCGUUACGAAAUGGAAUGAAGAUUUAUCUGAUUGAAGUUUUUGUAAACAAUGGCUUUUAGUGGCGGACUGGUGAGUAACACGUAAGCAAUCUACCUAUUAGAGGGGAAUAACAAUGAGAAAUCAUUGCUAAUACCGCAUAAGCUUGUAGUACCGCAUGGUACAGCAAGAAAAAGGAAGCAAUCCG